RNAcentral lists this long non-coding RNA (858 nucleotides) under Sus scrofa (pig). Its description in RNAcentral is "lncRNA (ENSSSCG00035054984.1)". Lineage: Eukaryota; Metazoa; Chordata; Mammalia; Artiodactyla; Suidae. The record is from RNAcentral.
UUUUCCCAUGCAGGCAAUGUCAGUGGCUCAAAAAAGCAACCGACUUAAAAGUUCCAGGGCCUUGGCCUUGAGGCAGCUCCCUCCCUCUCUCCCCUGACUGCAGGACCAAUAGUUUCUGCCCUUCUCUAUAAAUACUUUGCUCUUUUGUACCAUUCCUUGCUGAGUUUUCCUCUCUCUGCAGGUACCUUUGCUUCGGUCUGCCAGAAACUCUGAAGCCUGAGUUUAAACCUUGCUUCCUGGGCAAAGUCUCCCUUAGGCUCCUGCUGGGAAUCUUGGUAUCUUUCAGUAUCAUUGCCUGAGAAGUCAAGGAAAUUUCAAAGCAGAACUCUGGCAGAAAGUCCGCCUCACAGACACAGCCAGCCUGGGACAGGCACCGAAGAGAGGUUUCUUUUCAACAUGACCAGCACAAAGACGCAGUCGUCCGUUUGAUUAAAAAGUCAUCAGAUGAGUCAAGCACAUCGUUACUAAAAGAGAGUUUAUUUCCUGGUCUGUACCAAAAGCAAAUAUACCUGCCUCCAUAAGGUGCAGCCAGAAGAAGAAUGAGGAGGGGAAGGGAAGAGGAAGAGGAGGAGGAGGAAGAAGGCGACGAGAACUAUAUCGAGAGUCCCACGUUCCCUGGAGUCUGGGAUUGAGAAAAGACAGUGGAUGUCACCAGUCACAAUGCACUGUUUUCAGAAAAGAAUAUGAUAAAACUGUGAUACGUGACCUUGCUUUCUGAUAAAACUUUCAAAACGAUUUGAACGGCUUUUUUCUAACCUUUCAAAACACUCAAAAAUUAAAGUGGCUCACAUAAGAAGUAAUUAAUUAAAGGCAGCAUUUGUAAACAUGAAACUGAGAAUAAAGCUUCUUUUUGGAACA